RNAcentral lists this ribosomal RNA (764 nucleotides) under Oerskovia sp. Its description in RNAcentral is "bacterial SSU rRNA". It matches the Rfam family "Bacterial small subunit ribosomal RNA", at positions 27 to 803 of the family's 1533-position model. The record is from RNAcentral. Lineage: Bacteria; Bacillati; Actinomycetota; Actinomycetes; Micrococcales; Cellulomonadaceae.
GGACGAACGCUGGCGGCGUGCUUAACACAUGCAAGUCGAACGGUGAAGCCCAGCUUGCUGGGUGGAUCAGUGGCGAACGGGUGAGUAACACGUGAGUAACCUGCCCCAGACUCCGGGAUAAGCCUUGGAAACGAGGUCUAAUACUGGAUAUGAGAUGCCCCUGCAUGGGGAGUGUCUGGAAAGAUUUAUCGGUCUGGGAUGGACUCGCGGCCUAUCAGCUUGUUGGUGGGGUAAUGGCCUACCAAGGCGACGACGGGUAGCCGGCCUGAGAGGGCGACCGGCCACACUGGGACUGAGACACGGCCCAGACUCCUACGGGAGGCAGCAGUGGGGAAUAUUGCACAAUGGGCGAAAGCCUGAUGCAGCGACGCCGCGUGAGGGAUGAAGGCCUUCGGGUUGUAAACCUCUUUCAGCAGGGAAGAAGCGCAAGUGACGGUACCUGCAGAAGAAGCGCCGGCUAACUACGUGCCAGCAGCCGCGGUAAUACGUAGGGCGCAAGCGUUGUCCGGAAUUAUUGGGCGUAAAGAGCUCGUAGGCGGUUUGUCGCGUCUGGUGUGAAAACUCAAGGCUCAACCUUGAGCUUGCAUCGGGUACGGGCAGACUAGAGUGCGGUAGGGGUGACUGGAAUUCCUGGUGUAGCGGUGGAAUGCGCAGAUAUCAGGAGGAACACCGAUGGCGAAGGCAGGUCACUGGGCCGCAACUGACGCUGAGGAGCGAAAGCAUGGGGAGCGAACAGGAUUAGAUACCCUGGUAGUCCAUGCCGU